This 301-nucleotide ribosomal RNA is filed under the name uncultured bacterium. Its description in RNAcentral is "partial 16S ribosomal RNA". It matches the Rfam family "Bacterial small subunit ribosomal RNA", at positions 509 to 807 of the family's 1533-position model. The record is from RNAcentral.
CAGUCGCCGCGGGAAUACGGAGGGUGCGAGCGUUAAUCGGAAUUACUGGGCGUAAAGCGUACGCAGGCGGUUUGUUAAGUCAGAUGUGAAAUCCCCGAGCUUAACUCGGGAACUGCAUUUGAAACUGGCAGGCUAGAGUCUCGUAGAGGGGGGUAGAAUUCCAGGUGUAGCGGUGAAAUGCGUAGAGAUCUGGAGGAAUACCGGUGGCGAAGGCGGCCCCCUGGACGAAGACUGACGCUCAGGUACGAAAGCGUGGGGAGCAAACAGGAUUAGAUACCCCUGUAGUCCCUGUCUCUUAUAC